UCUAAAGGGUAUUAGCAUGGGAAUUUAUUCAGAACCUGGAUGAGAGAAUUGAUUGGCCAUGAACAAUUAGAUUUGAUGAUGAUGGAGUUUAUCACUACUUUUUUUUUCCAUAUCCCAGUUCUUCGUGUGCUUCUUUCAUAAUUAUUAUCAUGCAUAUUUGUAUUUUUAUCUCUAUAUGUUCAGGUACUUUGCUUCUCUUCUGCUUUAUGCUUGGGAGU
RNAcentral lists this unclassified non-coding RNA (218 nucleotides) under Hevea brasiliensis (rubber tree). The record is from RNAcentral. Lineage: Eukaryota; Viridiplantae; Streptophyta; Magnoliopsida; Malpighiales; Euphorbiaceae.